AUUGAACGCUGGCGGCAGGCCUAACACAUGCAAGUCGAGCGGUAGCACAGAGAGCUUGCUCUCGGGUGACGAGCGGCGGACGGGUGAGUAAUGUCUGGGAAACUGCCUGAUGGAGGGGGAUAACUACUGGAAACGGUAGCUAAUACCGCAUAAUGUCGCAAGACCAAAGUGGGGGACCUUCGGGCCUCAUGCCAUCAGAUGUGCCCAGAUGGGAUUAGCUAGUAGGUGGGGUAAUGGCUCACCUAGGCGACGAUCCCUAGCUGGUCUGAGAGGAUGACCAGCCACACUGGAACUGAGACACGGUCCAGACUCCUACGGGAGGCAGCAGUGGGGAAUAUUGCACAAUGGGCGCAAGCCUGAUGCAGCCAUGCCGCGUGUGUGAAGAAGGCCUUCGGGUUGUAAAGCACUUUCAGCGGGGAGGAAGGCGUUAAGGUUAAUAACCUUGGCGAUUGACGUUACCCGCAGAAGAAGCACCGGCUAACUCCGUGCCAGCAGCCGCGGUAAUACGGAGGGUGCAAGCGUUAAUCGGAAUUACUGGGCGUAAAGCGCACGCAGGCGGUCUGUCAAGUCGGAUGUGAAAUCCCCGGGCUCAACCUGGGAACUGCAUUCGAAACUGGCAGGCUAGAGUCUUGUAGAGGGGGGUAGAAUUCCAGGUGUAGCGGUGAAAUGCGUAGAGAUCUGGAGGAAUACCGGUGGCGAAGGCGGCCCCCUGGACAAAGACUGACGCUCAGGUGCGAAAGCGUGGGGAGCAAACAGGAUUAGAUACCCUGGUAGUCCACGCCGUAAACGAUGUCGAUUUGGAGGUUGUGCCCUUGAGGCGUGGCUUCCGGAGCUAACGCGUUAAAUCGACCGCCUGGGGAGUACGGCCGCAAGGUUAAAACUCAAAUGAAUUGACGGGGGCCCGCACAAGCGGUGGAGCAUGUGGUUUAAUUCGAUGCAACGCGAAGAACCUUACCUGGUCUUGACAUCCACAGAACUUAGCAGAGAUGCUUUGGUGCCUUCGGGAACUGUGAGACAGGUGCUGCAUGGCUGUCGUCAGCUCGUGUUGUGAAAUGUUGGGUUAAGUCCCGCAACGAGCGCAACCCUUAUCCUUUGUUGCCAGCGGUUAGGCCGGGAACUCAAAGGAGACUGCCAGUGAUAAACUGGAGGAAGGUGGGGAUGACGUCAAGUCAUCAUGGCCCUUACGACCAGGGCUACACACGUGCUACAAUGGCAUAUACAAAGAGAAGCGACCUCGCGAGAGCAAGCGGACCUCAUAAAGUAUGUCGUAGUCCGGAUUGGAGUCUGCAACUCGACUCCAUGAAGUCGGAAUCGCUAGUAAUCGUAGAUCAGAGUGCUACGGUGAAUACGUUCCCGGGCCUUGUACACACCGCCCGUCACACCAUGGGAGUGGGUUGCAAAAGAAGUAGGUAGCUUAACCUUCGGGAGGGCGCUUACCACUUUGUGAUUCAUGACUGGGGUGA
Molecule: ribosomal RNA, 1463 nt
Filed under: uncultured Klebsiella sp.
Lineage: Bacteria; Pseudomonadati; Pseudomonadota; Gammaproteobacteria; Enterobacterales; Enterobacteriaceae
Description: bacterial SSU rRNA
Rfam family: Bacterial small subunit ribosomal RNA
Source: RNAcentral